GUGGGGAAUAUUGGACAAUGGGGGGAACCCUGAUCCAGCCAUGCCGCGUGUGUGAAGAAGGCCUUUUGGUUGUAAAGCACUUUAAGCGAGGAGGAGGCUACCGAGAUUAAUACUCUUGGAUAGUGGACGUUACUCGCAGAAUAAGCACCGGCUAACUCUGUGCCAGCAGCCGCGGUAAUACAGAGGGUGCAAGCGUUAAUCGGAUUUACUGGGCGUAAAGCGUGCGUAGGCGGCUUUUUAAGUCGGAUGUGAAAUCGCCGAGCUUAACUUGGGAAUUGCAUUCGAUACUGGGAAGCUAGAGUAUGGGAGAGGAUGGUAGAAUUCCAGGUGUAGCGGUGAAAUGCGUAGAGAUCUGGAGGAAUACCGAUGGCGAAGGCAGCCAUCUGGCCUAAUACUGACGCUGAGGUACGAAAGCAUGGGGAGCAAACAGGAUUAGAUACCCCGGUAGUCC
Molecule: ribosomal RNA, 451 nt
Filed under: uncultured bacterium
Lineage: Bacteria
Description: bacterial SSU rRNA
Rfam family: Bacterial small subunit ribosomal RNA
Source: RNAcentral